Molecule: ribosomal RNA, 433 nt
Filed under: uncultured bacterium
Lineage: Bacteria
Description: partial 16S ribosomal RNA
Rfam family: Bacterial small subunit ribosomal RNA
Source: RNAcentral
AACGAACGCUGGCGGCAUGCCUAACACAUGCAAGUCGAACGAAACGUCCCUGUCUAGUUGCGCUUGGCUGCGUACCGCCUGGGAAGCUGCCCUUAGGUUCGGAACCACUCCCCGUAAGGUGACCUAAUACAGGUUAAUGUACUCGGACCAAGGAUCUAUUGCCUCGGGAUGGGGGCGCGUUGGUUUCGCCGGUUGGUAGGGUAAAAGCCUGCCAAGGCGUCGUUGCAUAGCUGGUCUGUUAGGAAGAUCAGCCCCACUGGGACUGAGACGCGGCCCAGACUCCUACGGGAGGGAGGAGUGGGGAAUAUUGGACAAUGGGCGAAAGCCUGAUCCAGCAAUGCCGCGUGAGUGAUGAAGGCCUUAGGGUUGUAAAGCUCUUUUACCCGGGAUGAUAAUGACGGUACCGGGAGAAUAAGCACCGGCUAACUACGUG